This 498-nucleotide ribosomal RNA is filed under the name uncultured bacterium. RNAcentral's name for it is "partial 16S ribosomal RNA". It matches the Rfam family "Bacterial small subunit ribosomal RNA", at positions 30 to 523 of the family's 1533-position model. The record is from RNAcentral.
AUUGAACGCUGGCGGCAUGCCUUACACAUGCAAGUCGAACGGUAACAGGUCUUCGGAUGCUGACGAGUGGCGAACGGGUGAGUAAUACAUCGGAACGUGCCCGAUCGUGGGGGAUAACGAAGCGAAAGCUUUGCUAAUACCGCAUACGAUCUACGGAUGAAAGCAGGGGACCGCAAGGCCUUGCGCGAACGGAGCGGCCGAUGGCAGAUUAGGUAGUUGGUGGGAUAAAAGCUUACCAAGCCGACGAUCUGUAGCUGGUCUGAGAGGACGACCAGCCACACUGGGACUGAGACACGGCCCAGACUCCUACGGGAGGCAGCAGUGGGGAAUUUUGGACAAUGGGCGAAAGCCUGAUCCAGCCAUGCCGCGUGCAGGAUGAAGGCCUCCGGGUUGUAAACUGCUUUUGUACGGAACGAAAAGACUCUGGUUAAUACCUGGGGUCCAUGACGGUACCGUAAGGAUAAGCACCGGCUAACUACGUGCCAGCAGCCGCAGUAA